Molecule: long non-coding RNA, 493 nt
Filed under: Fukomys damarensis (Damara mole-rat)
Lineage: Eukaryota; Metazoa; Chordata; Mammalia; Rodentia; Bathyergidae
Description: lncRNA (ENSFDAG00000031825.1)
Source: RNAcentral
CCCUUCGCAGAGCGGAGGGAGCCGGAGCGAAACAGGGUGCGGGCGGCGCCGGAGGCGGGGGGUGCAGUCCUCAGGGUCAGCGGGAGCCGGCCAGAGGUAGCUACGUGUCUCCCGCAAAGGGACCGGCUCCAAGGACCUCCGAGCCCCUCGCGCUCCCGCAGGCGAACGAGAUUCAGAACGGGGUUCUCAGCGAGAGUCCAUUCUGGCCAGCCCCGCCUUCCUCCCGGAUAGAGCUCUCCUUUAUGGCUUCACAAAACUUCAAGCUUUGGGGAGUGGCAUACGGAGAGCAGCUCAAGCGCUAACGUGGAUAUUGGAGGACAAAAACGGAUGAGAAGGUGGUGAAGACGAGUGAGCGCCUGACAGAAAAAAGCACAGCUUCCGUGAUCUAAUCAUCCUGGGCCCCGGGCUGCUGACCAGUGGAAGCAAGAACUAGGACAAAUGACUCGGCGUGAGGCACAUUCUCUCCGAUGCACAGACACUGAGUAGGUGUCCU